Molecule: long non-coding RNA, 607 nt
Organism: Argentina anserina (silverweed cinquefoil)
Lineage: Eukaryota; Viridiplantae; Streptophyta; Magnoliopsida; Rosales; Rosaceae
Exons: 2
Source: RefSeq, a predicted model, not a curated record
GUAUACACAGUCAGUCUUACUCUGUCCCGCACAAUCGAUUUCUCUCCCAGACCUCCUUCAUCUCCCAGUCAUCCUUCGUCUCUCAGACCUCCCAGUCCGCCUUCGUCUCCCCAACUCAAUUUGGCUGCAGUGAUCAUCUUCUUCGUCUCCUAUUCUGCAAUUGUUCAGAAUAGAAGCGAUAUUCCUCUUCUUUUUGUAAUCAAAUGAACAAGCAGGUGGUUCAGCAAUUGCAGGACCUGUACGGUCAGGAUCGCAUCGUAAGUAGAAGCUUCUAUAUAGUUGUGGAUUUUGAGUUUAGGGUUUGAUUGAUUUGGUUGUUUUUAUGUUGACGUGUUGAUGCAGCUGCUGCAAGCUAGACCGAAGAAGCUCAGUUUGGGAACGACUUACAUUCAUGGAUUGAAGCAUGCGUCUGGGAAUUUUGUUGUGAUAAUGGAUGCAUAUUUGUCCCGUCAUGUAAGUUGAUCAUCAUUCUGAUAUGUCUUUCUUGGAUAUGCUUAAUUUCUUUGAUUAAAUUUGUUAAGUGGGCGAUGAAUGUUUGUUUUGUAUAAAUGAAGAAUUUGAAUCCUAUUUGUGUUGGGUGAUAUUGUAAUGCCAUUUUUGGUGUUGA